This 177-nucleotide small nuclear RNA is filed under the name Sparus aurata (gilthead seabream). RNAcentral describes it as "U1 spliceosomal RNA (ENSSAUG00010024804.1)". It matches the Rfam family "U1 spliceosomal RNA", at positions 27 to 166 of the family's 166-position model. Rfam says of the family: U1 is a small nuclear RNA (snRNA) component of the spliceosome (involved in pre-mRNA splicing). Its 5' end forms complementary base pairs with the 5' splice junction, thus defining the 5' donor site of an intron. Lineage: Eukaryota; Metazoa; Chordata; Actinopteri; Spariformes; Sparidae. The record is from Rfam by way of RNAcentral.
UGACUGUAAUGGCUUUGACUGAAAUUAAUGAAGGCUUCUAAAAAGUGAAAAGUGUUCACCCAGGGCGAGGCUCAGCCAUUGCACUCCGGUUGUGCUGACCCCUGCGAAUUCCCAAAAUGUGGGAAUCUCGACUGCAUAAUUUGUGGUAGUGGGGGACUGCGUUCGCGCUCUCCCCUG